CAAUAGCGUAUAUUAAAGUUGUUGCAGUUAGAACGCUCGUAGUCGGAUUUCGGGGCGGGCCUGCCGGUCUGCCGUUGGGUAUGCACUGGUGGGCGCGUCCUUCCUUCCGGAGACCGUGGCUACUCUUAACUGAGCGGUUGCGGGAGACGGAUCGUUUACUUUGAAAAAUCAGAGUGUUUCAAGCAGACUCGCGUCUUUGCAUGGAUUAGCAUGGGAUAAUGAAAUAGGACUUUGGUGCUAUUUUGUUGGUUUCGAACACCAAGGUAAUGAUUAAUAGGGAUAGUUGGGGGUAUUCGUAUUUAAUUGUCAGAGGUGAAAUUCUUGGAUUUAUGGAAGAUGAACUACUGCGAAAGCAUUUACCAAGGAUGUUUUCAUUAAUCAAGAACGAAAGUUAGGGGAUCGAAGAUGAUUAGAUACCAU
Molecule: ribosomal RNA, 420 nt
Filed under: uncultured eukaryote
Lineage: Eukaryota
Description: bacterial SSU rRNA
Rfam family: Eukaryotic small subunit ribosomal RNA
Source: RNAcentral